ACCAUGAAGGCAGAAAUGAUCCCAACUCUGGCCACCCCCAGCAGUCUGUCCCGGGAAGAGCUCUGGCCACCUGGGCCUAUCUGCAGAGUUUACCAGCAAGCUCAGCUAUCCCUGUACACCGCCGGGGCCCUGGACACCGUGGAUUCUCAGGGCCAGAGCCUGGCUUGGCCCCCACCCAGCACCACAGCAAGGCCAGCUCUCUGGGGCCUGGGGUUGCUCCCCCUCUGGGAAGGUCACACGCACUAGCCCAGGCUGCAUUCCCAGGCACAGGGGAGGAUCCUCCCUUCUGCUGCCCUGCAUGGCAGGCCAGCAAUCUUGGGGCUGCCCUGGCCCGGCCUGGGGACGCCCACCUUGUGUCCUCCCCACGCCUGACCUGACUGAGACUGGCCGCCCAGAGGCUCCCCUUGGAGCACUCCCGCAGCUGGCUACUGUCACAGAGACGCAGACCUGCCUCCCCUGGGAAAGCCAGCCGGCAGGGCAGGGACUGACUCAUCCCUGGCAUCCUAGGGGGACGGGGGUUGUUGAAAGGUGUCCCCAGGGGUCCAUACGGACUUUGGAUGUGAUUCCAAGUUAUCCAAGCACAGCCAUUCCUGAGAAGCCGGGGACGGAACCAACAUCCAACUACUGGCCAGGAAAUGCUCGAUGUCUACUCCUCUACCAAGCAUUUAUUGGGCACCUACUGCAUACUCAGCACCGAGGGAGACUCCAAGGUACCAGCCACGCCAGGUCCUGGCCAGGUGCCACGAAGAUCCCACCCCGACGGCCCAAGGUGCAGGACAGCUGGGGAGCAGGAAAUGUGGAUGGACCUGGAGACCGUGGUGCUGAGCAGACGAGACCAGAGUGAGGAAGACAAACAUCUCAUGUGUUCCCCUGAUACGUGGGAUCUGAAGAAGAUGGCAUGGAAGCAGAGGGAGAUGAUUUUUAGACAAGAGAAGGGACGAAUGUGCUGGCAUGUAAGGGAGGAGUGGGGAGAAUGUGAGCAGAAGGUAUUUUACACACUGAACCCCUGUCUUUAAUAAAAAUACUA
Non-coding RNA from Heterocephalus glaber (naked mole-rat), 1027 nucleotides. Lineage: Eukaryota; Metazoa; Chordata; Mammalia; Rodentia; Bathyergidae. The record is from RefSeq and is a predicted model, not a curated record.